This 85-nucleotide transfer RNA is filed under the name Candidatus Dojkabacteria bacterium. Its description in RNAcentral is "tRNA-Ser". It matches the Rfam family "tRNA". Rfam says of the family: Transfer RNA (tRNA) molecules are approximately 80 nucleotides in length. Their secondary structure includes four short double-helical elements and three loops (D, anti-codon, and T loops). Further hydrogen bonds mediate the characteristic L-shaped molecular structure. tRNAs have two regions of fundamental functional importance: the anti-codon, which is responsible for specific mRNA codon recognition, and the 3' end, to which the tRNAs corresponding amino acid is attached (by aminoacyl-tRNA synthetases). tRNAs cope with the degeneracy of the genetic code in two manners: having more than one tRNA (with a specific anti-codon) for a particular amino acid; and 'wobble' base-pairing, i.e. permitting non-standard base-pairing at the 3rd anti-codon position. The record is from RNAcentral.
GGAUGAAUGGCAGAGUGGUCGAUUGCGGCAGUCUUGAAAACUGUUGAGUGUAACACCUCCGGGGGUUCGAAUCCCUCUUCCUCCG